RNAcentral lists this ribosomal RNA (93 nucleotides) under Staphylococcus cohnii. RNAcentral's name for it is "partial 16S ribosomal RNA". It matches the Rfam family "Bacterial small subunit ribosomal RNA", at positions 1 to 87 of the family's 1533-position model. The record is from RNAcentral. Lineage: Bacteria; Bacillati; Bacillota; Bacilli; Caryophanales; Staphylococcaceae.
UUUUUUAUGGAGAGUUUGAUCCUGGCUCAGGAUGAACGCUGGCGGCGUGCCUAAUACAUGCAAGUCGAGCGAACAGAUAAGGAGCUUGCUCCU